CGGCAGAGCAGCGGGAGCUGAGCGCCGAGCUCGCGACCGUACAGGGAGCGCCGGUCUGCCCCGCCCUGGACCCAACCAAGCGUCCCGUGGAGGGGUGCGGCCACUUGGGGGCAGGAGAAAACGGAGUAAGCCACCCUUCUGGGCACCCAGGAAGCGAGGCGAGCCUCAGGUGGACGCGGUGGUGUAGACCACGACGAUCAGGGCCGUUCCCCGUGCUGUGGAGACGGAGGCUGAACCAAAUGCCAGGAGAAUCUUUCAGAGUGUCCUGGAACAUUGGAAAUAGCCUUAAAGCUUAAAUGAUGAAUCAGAAGAGUUAUGCUGUAUUCUAGUGCUGACACUAGGUUAUCAAGUCUCAUGCUGGAAGAAAGCUGUCCUGACUCAGAUCUUCUUGGUAAUAUAUUUUCCCAAUCCAUUAUGAUAACCUGUUUAGAUAUUUAGCUACUGUAUAGAAAUCGCCCUUGGGUUGGAGUGAGGGAAUACUCUUUGCCAAGAAAUAAACUGGAGAAGCUUUAUCUAGG
RNAcentral lists this long non-coding RNA (518 nucleotides) under Rhinopithecus bieti (black snub-nosed monkey). Its description in RNAcentral is "lncRNA (ENSRBIG00000045568.1)". The record is from RNAcentral. Lineage: Eukaryota; Metazoa; Chordata; Mammalia; Primates; Cercopithecidae.